This 120-nucleotide ribosomal RNA is filed under the name uncultured Chlamydiales bacterium. Its description in RNAcentral is "partial 16S ribosomal RNA". It matches the Rfam family "Bacterial small subunit ribosomal RNA", at positions 331 to 450 of the family's 1533-position model. The record is from RNAcentral. Lineage: Bacteria; Pseudomonadati; Chlamydiota; Chlamydiia; Chlamydiales.
CCAGACUCCUACGGGAGGCUGCAGUCGAGAAUCUUUCGCAAUGGGCGCAAGCCUGACGAAGCGACGCCGUGUGAGCGAAGAAGGCCUUCGGGUUGUAAAGCUCUUUCGCUGGGGAACAAG